UAGGGAAUCUUCCACAAUGGACGCAAGUCUGAUGGAGCAACGCCGCGUGAGUGAAGAAGGGUUUCGGCUCGUAAAGCUCUGUUGUUAAAGAAGAACGUGGGUAAGAGUAACUGUUUACCCAGUGACGGUAUUUAACCAGAAAGCCACGGCUAACUACGUGCCAGCAG
RNAcentral lists this ribosomal RNA (167 nucleotides) under uncultured bacterium. RNAcentral's name for it is "partial 16S ribosomal RNA". It matches the Rfam family "Bacterial small subunit ribosomal RNA", at positions 355 to 514 of the family's 1533-position model. The record is from RNAcentral.